ACUCCUACGGGAGGCAGCAGUGGGGAAUAUUGCACAAUGGGCGCAAGCCUGAUGCAGCCAUGCCGCGUGUGUGAAGAAGGCCUUCGGGUUGUAAAGCACUUUCAGUCGUGAGGAAGGUAGUGUAGUUAAUAGCUGCAGUAUUUGUACGUUAGCGACAGAAGAAGCACCGGCUAACUCCGUGCCAGCAGCCGCGGUAAUACGGAGGGUGCGAGCGUUAAUCGGAAUUACUGGGCGUAAAGCGCAUGCAGGUGGUUUGUUAAGUCAGAUGUGAAAGCCCGGGGCUCAACCUCGGAAUAGCAUUUGAAACUGGCAGACUAGAGUACUGUAGAGGGGGUUAGAAUUUCAGGUGUAGCGGUGAAAUGCGUAGAGAUCUGAAGGAAUACCGGUGGCGAAGGCGGCCCCUGGACAGAUACUGACACUCAGAUGCGAAAGCGUGGGAGCAAACAGGAUUAGAU
RNAcentral lists this ribosomal RNA (455 nucleotides) under uncultured bacterium. RNAcentral's name for it is "bacterial SSU rRNA". It matches the Rfam family "Bacterial small subunit ribosomal RNA", at positions 335 to 783 of the family's 1533-position model. The record is from RNAcentral.